AUAAUGUAAAUAAAUUUGAGUGUAGUAAUAUUUACCACAACGAUUACUCCAACCUCCCAAGAAGUGGCAUAAGCGAUUGCAUUCAAGUUUCUGGGUGGUGGUGUUGAAUGAACAGAAGCGUGUAUCUCCACAACGUGUUUGACACAUAUGAAGAAACCAUGUAAUCUCAAAUCCAUAUACUAACGCCUUAUGAAUGACAUCAUAGGAAGAAAUUUCUUGAUUUCUUUCAAAAAUUUUCGACCAAGAUGUUGGAGUAACCAAUUUUACAUGACAACCAACUUGAAAAUCUUAUGAAUGAACCAAUCACCAGCCAUAGCAUAAAUAUAAUACCCUUUUGAGUUUGGAUUAAUGCACGGAACAGUAUCAACAUAUUUAUGAUUGUUAAUAACUUGAUGGCUACAAUUCAAGUAUACUAUAUGCUCAAAAAGUAUGGUUCGGGGAUAUUGUACUGCUUGAUAUGGAUCCGUGCAAUAUUCGUCCACAUAAUUGUAUCUAACAAAGAAAUUGGAUUGAGAUAGGGAAUUGAGUGGAAGUGAAGAACAAUUAUCUUGUUGAAUUCCAGAAU
Molecule: long non-coding RNA, 565 nt
Filed under: Trifolium pratense (red clover)
Lineage: Eukaryota; Viridiplantae; Streptophyta; Magnoliopsida; Fabales; Fabaceae
Description: long non-coding RNA (TPRA_LNC009172)
Source: RNAcentral